AUGAUGCCCAGCUUGCUGGGCGGAUUAGUGGCGAACGGGUGAGUAAUACGUGAGUAACCUGCCCUUGACUCUGGGAUAAGCCUGGGAAACUGGGUCUAAUACUGGAUACUACCUCUUACCGCAUGGUGGGUGGUGGAAAGGGUUUUACUGGUUUUGGAUGGGCUCACGGCCUAUCAGCUUGUUGGUGGGGUAAUGGCUCACCAAGGCGACGACGGGUAGCCGGCCUGAGAGGGUGACCGGCCACACUGGGACUGAGACACGGCCCAGACUCCUACGGGAGGCAGCAGUGGGGAAUAUUGCACAAUGGGCGGAAGCCUGAUGCAGCGACGCCGCGUGAGGGAUGACGGCCUUCGGGUUGUAAACCUCUUUCAGUAGGGAAGAAGCGAGAGUGACGGUACCUGCAGAAGAAGCGCCGGCUAACUACGUGCCAGCAGCCGCGGUAAUACGUAGGGCGCAAGCGUUGUCCGGAAUUAUUGGGCGUAAAGAGCUCGUAGGCGGUUUGUCGCGUCUGCUGUGAAAGCCCGGGGCUCAACCCCGGGUCUGCAGUGGGUACGGGCAGACUAGAGUGCAGUAGGGGAGACUGGAAUUCCUGGUGUAGCGGUGAAAUGCGCAGAUAUCAGGAGGAACACCGAUGGCGAAGGCAGGUCUCUGGGCUGUUACUGACGCUGAGGAGCGAAAGCAUGGGGAGCGAACAGGAUUAGAUACCCUGGUAGUCCAUGCCGUAAACGUUGGGCACUAGGUGUGGGGGACAUUCCACGUUUUCCGCGCCGUAGCUAACGCAUUAAGUGCCCCGCCUGGGGAGUAC
RNAcentral lists this ribosomal RNA (805 nucleotides) under Kocuria sp. LMR273. RNAcentral describes it as "bacterial SSU rRNA". It matches the Rfam family "Bacterial small subunit ribosomal RNA", at positions 69 to 883 of the family's 1533-position model. The record is from RNAcentral. Lineage: Bacteria; Bacillati; Actinomycetota; Actinomycetes; Micrococcales; Micrococcaceae.